This 190-nucleotide small nuclear RNA is filed under the name Castor canadensis (American beaver). RNAcentral's name for it is "U2 spliceosomal RNA (ENSCCNG00000003209.1)". It matches the Rfam family "U2 spliceosomal RNA". From Rfam's summary of the family: U2 is a small nuclear RNA (snRNA) component of the spliceosome (involved in pre-mRNA splicing). The record is from Rfam by way of RNAcentral. Lineage: Eukaryota; Metazoa; Chordata; Mammalia; Rodentia; Castoridae.
GUCACUUCUCAGCCUUCUGUCUAAGAUCAAGUGUAGCAUCUGUUCUUAUCAGUUUAAUAUCUGAUAUGUCUUCUACUUUAGGACAAUACAUUAAAUGGAUUUUUGGGACUAGGAGAUGGAAUAGGAGCUGCUCCGUCCACUCCUCGCAUCGACCUGGUAUUGCAGUGCCUCCAGGAACGAUGCACAAAAA